AGCAAGGUUAGUCCAACGGUAGUUUAGAUCAGUGGCUCAGACGAACGCUGGCGGCAUGCCUAACACAUGCAAGUCGAAACGAGACCUUCGGGUCUAGUGGCGCACGGGUGCGUAACGCGUGGGAACCUGCCUUUAGGUUCGGAAUAACUCAGAGAAAUUUGAGCUAAUACCGGAUAAUGUCUUCGGACCAAAGAUUUAUCGCCUUUAGAUGGGCCCGCGUUGGAUUAGCUAGUUGGUGGGGUAAAGGCCUACCAAGGCGACGAUCCAUAGCUGGUCUGAGAGGAUGAUCAGCCACACUGGGACUGAGACACGGCCCAGACUCCUACGGGAGGCAGCAGUGGGGAAUUUUGGACAAUGGGGCGAAAGCCUGAUCCAGCAAUGCCGCGUGAGUGAUGAAGGCCUUAGGGUUGUAAAGCUCUUUACCAGGGAUGAUAAUGACAGUACUUGGAGAAUAAGCUCCGGCUAACUCCAUG
This 473-nucleotide ribosomal RNA is filed under the name uncultured bacterium. RNAcentral's name for it is "bacterial SSU rRNA". It matches the Rfam family "Bacterial small subunit ribosomal RNA", at positions 1 to 507 of the family's 1533-position model. The record is from RNAcentral.